Oncorhynchus gorbuscha (pink salmon) is the source of this 342-nucleotide long non-coding RNA. RefSeq lists it as uncharacterized. Lineage: Eukaryota; Metazoa; Chordata; Actinopteri; Salmoniformes; Salmonidae. The record is from RefSeq and is a predicted model, not a curated record. The transcript is spliced from 3 exons.
GAAUGAUACUAAAAUGGCCUGUAAUUUCCUGAACUUAACAUGUCUUGAGAGAACACCGUUUCAAUGGAAAGUACACAAUGAAUAUGAAUCUAUCAAAUUCAAUUCCCUCUGCAGGGACAAGACUCUAUGCUGUCCAGACUGGAGCGGACUGCGGCUUUAAGUGCCCAGUGCCAUGGCUCACUCUCAACACCCUGAAAGAGUGAGCCAGAGAGGUAAACUAUGCUCACAGGUAAUGAGACUUAAUAGGGCUUGUGUAUGUGACCCCUGCUAGCCUAAUCUUCUGAGCCACCCUGCUGCUAUGCAAUGGAGGACAUGAACAAUAAAGGUUCAAUUAAAAUUACA